ACACCCCUCACCCUCUCACCCGCACUUCUCCUCUCGUCCCACAGCCGCCACCCCCAACCCUCUCGCUCCUCCUCCGUCUCAAUCUCUCGAUCCCCAACCACCGCCGCCACCGUCCUCCGCCUCUCCCCCAACCCCAGUCGUCGGCGACCCCUCCCCUUCCCUUCUCUCCCACGGCCGCGGUCGGAUCCGCGCUCCCUCCUCGCUCGUGACCUGGACCUAGCCGCAUGGCACGGCCAUGGCCAUGGCAGCGGCCAGAUCCACCCCCUCCCCUGCUCUGUUCCCUCGACACCCGGUGGUCAUUCUCCCUUAUGCCACCUGCCCCCCUUCUUCCUCCCGCGGCAGCUCACCCGCAGCCUUCCCCGUGGCUCUAGGGUUUUGGGGGCGGCGGCGCCUCCAUUGCCGGCAUGGCUCCGGUGACUCUACAGUCUCCUCCCCGACAUCUACUGCGCUGAGACAGCCGUGUCUCUGACUUGCCGCUUCCCCAGUGGCUGCUACUGGACCCGAUCCCUCCUCGUUGCCUGUAUGCUUCCUCGACUCUCCCUCCUCCCCAACAAGGCCGCCGUCGGACACCUUCUUCCCCGACAGCGCCGAUGGAGAUCCACUCCUCCAUUUUCUUCUCACGGUUGUCCGCAGCAUAUAUGACUCAGAUCUGACAUUUUUGUUGUGUGUCUGGUUUUUCAGGAUGUGGGUGGUGCAGUGGCUGCAAGAACACGCUCGGCAGCGUCUAGGCCGGGUCGACUAGGGCGGCCGACAGCGGUGGCUACUUCCUUACAAGGACUGCAAGCUCGCCCACGACUACACGACCCUCCAGGUCUCGUCUGCAUGCCCGCUCCCUCCUCCCUGCCUCCUCAAGGUAGGCCGCAAGCGGACUUGACAAGCUUAUGAGUUCAGCAUAUGAGCUCUCUGACAUUUACCAUGUGCCGUGUUAUGUUCAGCUUCUUAUGUGUCAUGGAAAUGUCCUUGUGUUGCAUAGUAGGCCCUGAAUUAUUCAUGUUGCUGGCGAUGAGAUGUCCCUAUUUUGCUCUGUACUAUGCACUGCUAUAUUUAUAGUUUGAAAGCGUGAGUUUAAAAGAUGUCCCUGUUUAAUAUUGAUGAGGUGUCCCUGUUUUGCUUCUUAUAGUUUGAAAGCUAUAAUGGUCAGUAAUUUGGGGCAUCUCUUCUAAGUGAUGUUGAAUGUCACCUACACUUGCUUCGUGUCAAUACGACCAAGGAUUUUGUUAUCUGGAACUGUAACUGUUGGCAUAGAUACUGACUGUGGUGGCAUAGUGCGACGUCUCACAAGGUGGAUUCAGAUUUGGUUGUCACGGUGCACAAGUGGUGGGGUUACCCAAUGUUGGCAAAUCAACUUUCUUUAACAUAGUAACAAAGGUGGGCUCCCGCGCCGGCAACUCCAGCUUGCGGUGAAGAAGAGAAAGGCUGAGAAGGACCCCAACGAGCCCACGCGCCCCAAGCGCUUUCUUCAUCUUCAUGUGAGCCCCAGCCUCGGUUCCUUGUUCGAUUCAUGUUGCUUCUAUGGUGUGGCGUCGCGUCCUGGCCGAGGAUUUGGUUCGUGUUUCGUCUUCGCAGGGACAACUUCAGGAAGGAGUACAAGGAGAAGCACCCCGACGUCAAGCAGGUCUCCAUGAUUGGCAAGGCCGGUGGUGAGAAGUGGAAGUCCAUGAGUGAUGCUCAGGUGCUCUGCUCUUGCACACGUCUGGCACCGUCUCCGGCGCGGUGGUCCUUCUUGAGGAGACCGGCAUGAUGGCGGCUGUGUACAUGAAGCCCUCCG
Aegilops tauschii subsp. strangulata is the source of this 1768-nucleotide non-coding RNA. NCBI's taxonomy places the organism in Eukaryota, Viridiplantae, Streptophyta, Magnoliopsida, Poales, Poaceae. The record is from RefSeq and is a predicted model, not a curated record.